This 627-nucleotide ribosomal RNA is filed under the name Triticum aestivum (bread wheat). RNAcentral describes it as "partial small subunit ribosomal RNA". Lineage: Eukaryota; Viridiplantae; Streptophyta; Magnoliopsida; Poales; Poaceae. The record is from RNAcentral.
AUGAAAAAACACGAGAGUUUGGAGCUUGACUCAAAGACGCGAGAGUCCGAGCUCACGACGGCCCUCGAAAGCGCCAAGUUUGGCAAGGCCGAAGCCCAAAAAGCCCUCCAGGAAGUUGAGGCGAUGAAGAAGAUAGCGCCAAGAGCAUUCGCAGAUUUGCCCCGUAGCGUGUCAGAUGCCGCCGCCUUCUACCGGGCCGAGGAGGGGAGCUCGACGGAGAAGGUGUUCUGGUCUCAGUACGCUGAGGCCGGACACCCGGUGCCCUUGAGCGACCAGCUGAAGAAACUGGUCGAGCUCCAUAAGGUGGCCGAACAGGCCAUGAAGGGCCUCAAAGUUCGGCUGUGGCCCGGAGAGGCUCUGCCUGGGAGCUACUUUGGGCUAGUGAGGCGGGUGGUGGAUGCGUGUCCGUGGCUUGAAGUUAUAAAGCGCUCCGCCUGCAUCGAGGGUGCCCGUAGGGCGCUUGCCCGUGCUAACGUGCACUGGGGCAAGAUGGAUGCGGAGAAGCUGGUGAAGGACGGGCCACCGCAAGGCAAGGAGCAUCGCCACCCCGAGAUGUACUAUGAGGGCGUCCUGAAGGGUGCCCGCCUUGUGGCGGAUGAAUGUUCCAGGGAUGUAAUAUUUGAGUAA